AUGACUUUGAUCCCCAUCUUCAUCUGCACACUGGUCCUAUGGACUCAAGGAUCCAGAGGUCAGGUAACAGUGACUCAGGAUUCAGUGAAAUCUGCUCUUCCAGGAGACACAGUCACCAUCAACUGUAGAACAAACCCUGCGGUGUAUAAUAAUAACUAUCUCGCCUGGUACCUGCAGAAACCUGGAGAAGCUCCUAAACUCCUGAUCUACUAUGCUACUAGCUUACAGUCAGGAAUUCCAGCUCGUUUCAGUGGUAGUGGAUCUGGAUCUGACUUCACUCUGACCAUCAGAGGAGUCCAGACUGAAGAUGCAGGAGAUUAUUACUGUCAGAGUAGACACAACAUUGGUGGUAACUGGCCGUUCACACAGUGUUACAGAGUCAUACAAAAACCUCCCUCAGUCAGACUGCACAGAGACUGCACUGCUGCAGCUGAAACCUACUGCAGGUUGAAGCUCCCAGUCGUUCAACUCGCUCAAGGACUCCUGUGA
This is a non-coding RNA of Electrophorus electricus (electric eel), 489 nucleotides long. The record is from the annotation of a RefSeq genome assembly. Lineage: Eukaryota; Metazoa; Chordata; Actinopteri; Gymnotiformes; Gymnotidae.